GGAAGUAGAAGCUACAGAGGAAAUCGAGUAGUUUUAAAAGAACAAAUUUAUCUAAAUAUCUAUAACAAUCUAAGGAAUGAUACUCAGUUCACAAAUGAUUGUAGUGCUUUGCAAAAAAUAGCGUUUUUAACAGGGGUUCCCUAUAGUACAAUAUGCCUGUAAAAAAAGGAUUAAACACAGAAUAAAAGGGAAAGAUGCAGGACAAUCAAAGGGACUUGACAUGGAUAUUGCCAAAUUGCUAAGGAAAGGUGUGUAUUCUAAAUACAAAAACAAUGAUGUUCUGACCAUAUAGACACCUUAUCGGCAAGAGACAAACAUUUCUCAGUCUCAACCUUGCGGAGAUACCUGAUAAAACUUGGAUUUAAGCUUAAGAUGGUUAACAAAAGAGCUGCUGUAAUGGAAUUGUCAGGAGGUGUAUAGAAUAUUUGAGGAAAAUUAAAAAAAUUUGGGAGGAAGAAAGAUCCAUGUAUUAUUUAGCCGAAACAUGAUAUGAUACAUUUAUGAUUGAUGUAUAAUUUCCAUUCUCUGGGAAAAAAGUCUCUUUUUUGCCAUAGUAAGAAAACCAUAUUUUUAUUAAUAAAACAAGUUUAAAAUUUUGUUUUUUACAGCUUACUGCCCCUGUUGUCCUUCAGUGAUACAAUAAAGACUGCUUCUUCCACCAUUCUCUGGGAAAAAUCCUGUUUUGCUAUGCUUACUACCCCUGGUGUCCUUCAGCAACACAAUGAAGACUGCUUCUUCCUCUAUUCUCUGGAAAAAAGUCCCUUUUUUGCCAUAGUUAAUAAUACUUACUGCCCCUGUUUGUCCUUCAGCGACACAAUAAAGUAUAUAUAAUGUAAUGCUUUAGAAUCCAUAUGCUGAUGUGCGAGAUGAAGUUGGAAUCCAUGGCGGCAACAGAGAAACUGUUUCCUUCCUUAAUGGAAGAAACUGCUAAAGAACAAUGGCAAAAAAACAGAAUUUACAAAAUUUGUAUUAAUUUUUUGGGCCAGAUUCAAAAGAGUGGUUAAAUUUAUAAAAUUAUUUAGUAUC
Molecule: long non-coding RNA, 1026 nt
Organism: Anthonomus grandis grandis
Lineage: Eukaryota; Metazoa; Arthropoda; Insecta; Coleoptera; Curculionidae
Exons: 3
Source: RefSeq, a predicted model, not a curated record